AGUGAACGCUGGCGGUAGGCCUAACACAUGCAAGUCGAACGGCAGCACAGUAAGAGCUUGCUCUUACGGGUGGCGAGUGGCGGACGGGUGAGGAAUACAUCGGAAUCUACUUUUUCGUGGGGGAUAACGUAGGGAAACUUACGCUAAUACCGCAUACGACCUACGGGUGAAAGCUGGGGAUCUUCGGACCUUGCGCGAUUGAAUGAGCCGAUGUCGGAUUAGCUAGUGGGCGGGGUAAAGGCCCACCAAGGCGACGAUCCGUAGCUGGUCUGAGAGGAUGAUCAGCCACACUGGAACUGAGACACGGUCCAGACUCCUACGGGAGGCAGCAGUGGGGAAUAUUGGACAAUGGGCGCAAGCCUGAUCCAGCCAUACCGCGUGGGUGAAGAAGGCCUUCGGGUUGUAAAGCCCUUUUGUUGGGAAAGAAAAGCAGCAGGUUAAUACCCCGCUGUUCUGACGGUACCCAAAGAAUAAGCACCGGCUAACUUCGUG
RNAcentral lists this ribosomal RNA (492 nucleotides) under uncultured bacterium. RNAcentral's name for it is "partial 16S ribosomal RNA". It matches the Rfam family "Bacterial small subunit ribosomal RNA", at positions 29 to 507 of the family's 1533-position model. The record is from RNAcentral.